AUGUGGAGAUCGAUGUUCCGAUUUAUCAAUGCUUGGCUACAGGCGGUAUUCCGGUAUAUCACUGCUUGGCUUCAGGCGGCGGCGGCCGAUGAUUCUGAUGCUGUCGCAUUGCCUCGGGCGGCGAUGGAUUUUCCUGUCACUGUUUCGUUUGGCCCCCUCCACCGGCCGCUCCAUUCAUUCAGGGCUACCAAGAACAAUCUCCCAGAUGGGGUUAGCGAGGGCCAGGUCCGGCGCCUCGAAGAAGAUCUGGAGACAUUGUUCACUGAGCUCAAGGUCGUGUCGGAGGCGGACGACCCCAGCUUCACGGCCGGAUGCUGGAUGAAGGAGGUGCGGGAACUCCGCUACGACGCAGAGGACUUCUUCAACGAGGUCCCGCGCUCCUCCGCCGCCGGCAGGAGCGCUCUCCUCUCCAUCAUCCUCUGGAUCCCCAGUAAACUGAAGCGGCGGCGCCAGGCUGCAGAAGCUUUCUCAGAUCUGCGGGCUCGUGCCAGGGAUGCGAGUCAAAGACGCCAAAGCCUCCACAUUGGCCCAACAACCAUCAAGCCUGAAUUUGGGCAAGCCAAUGUCCGCUCCAGUCCCCAACUACUUCUUGACCUUGAGGAGUCCAUGGAGAAGCUUGUAAAACUGAUGGCUUUGGAUGACCAAGAGAUUGCAGAUCUGCUGGCCUUUGACAGUGAAGAUGCAGAGCAACAAGUUCAGGUGGUACCUAUCUUUGGGUCUGCAGGUGUUGGCAAAACGACACUUGCUCGAACCUUCUACCGUAACUUUGGGGGGAAAUUCCAGUGCCGGGCUUUCGUGCGGGUGUCGCGGAAUCCAGAUAUGAGGAGGAUGCUUUCCAGCAUGCUCUCACAAAUUAAGGCACCACCGGUCCGUGGCUUUCCUGAUGUGCAGGACCUUAUUGACCAUAUCAGAGAAUAUCUGCAAUCCAAAAGAUACUUGAUUGUAAUUGAUGACUUAUGGGCCUCUUCAACAUGGGAUAUUAUUAGCCGUGCUUUUCCUGAUGGUGAUUGUUGCAGCAGAAUAAUGGUAACCACAGAAAUCAAGGAUGUAGCAUUGGCAUGCAGUAGGUAUCAGUUUAAGUACAUGUAUGAGAUGAAUCCUCUUAAUGGUGAUCAAUCAAGCAAGUUAUUACUCGGCCGAGUUUUUGGGUCUGAAAGUGGCUGUCCUCCAGAUUUCAAAGAAGUUACAUACGAGAUUAUCCAGAAAUGUGGAGGUUUACCAUUAGCAAUUGAAAAUAUAGCCAGCAUGUUAGCAUGUGAACUAGACGUCGAUCAAUGGAAGCACGUGCGAGAUUCUUUACCCUCUGUUUUGGGUCUGAGGACAAACCCUAGUUCGGAAGGGUUGAAAGAAGUUCUGAACAUUAUUUACAAUAAUCUUUCACCAUACAUGAAGACAUGCCUGCUAUAUCUUAAUAUGUAUCCAGAGGGCAACACUAUCAGCAAGGAAGACUUAGUGAAGCAAUGGGUAGCUGAAGAUUUAAUCGGUGAAGGGCAAAACAGAGAGAAAACUGCACGGGAUUAUUUUGAUGAGCUUGUCAGUAGAGGAAUGAUCCAACCUCUAGACAGAAAUUAUAAUGAUGAGGUGUUGACAUGCACAGUACACCACAUGGUACUAGAUCUUAUUAGGUACAAAUCCCUGGAGGAGAAUUUCAUCAUUAAUGUGAGCUGUUUUCAAACAACUCCAGGUCUUCCUGACAAGGUUCGUCGAUUGUCUAUCCAGUUCGGUGCUGCAAAAUGUGCAAAUAUACCAGCAGACUUUAUGAUGACUCAAGUUAGAUCACUUAUGUUUUUUGGGUUCUUUAAUUGUGUGCCUUCUGUUGGCGAGUAUAAGCUCCUUCAAGUUCUGAUUCUUAAUAUCUGGGCUGAUGAAAGAAAAAUAUUUGACCUCACUAGAAUUGGUGAACUGUUUGUGCUGAGAUAUCUGAAAAUUGAUGGCAACAUCACCGUCCAUCUGCCAGAUGAGAUUCGACAGCUAAAAUUAUUGGAGACACUGGAACUGCAUGCACCAGUAAAUGAUAUGCCAUCAGAUAUUAGUUGCUUGCCAUUACUUCGCACUCUGGGCUAUUUUGACCUCAGCAAGAGCUCAAUAGAGAAUGUACAGAGCCUUGGUGAGCUGAACAAUCUGGAAGACCUUCAUCUCACCUGGUCUAACAUUGCACAGCCAGAUAAUCUGAAGAACAAUAUGCAAUGCUUGGGCACAAUUCUCUGGAAACUCAGCAACCUGAAGUCUUUAACUCUAGUACCAGCAGCCUCCUCUCAUGCAGAUGUUCUGGACGAUGCCGGUGGUGCAAGCGUGGGUAUUUCUGGCGAUGUCUUGAGCAGUUUGUCCUCUCCUCCGGCCCUUCUUCAGAGGCUUGAGCUGUCAGGGGGGUGUUGCAUCUUUUCCAGCCUACCCGAGUGGACCAAAGAGCUUGGCAAUCUCUGCAUUUUGAAGAUUGCAGUUAGGAAGCUGUUGAGGAAAGAUAUUGAUAUCCUCAAAAGAUUGCCAGCACUCAUGGCUCUCUCGCUGUACAUCUGGACAGCCCCUGUAGGAAAGGUCGUCUUUGAUGAUGAGGGAUUCUCGGUUCUCAAAUACUUCAAGUUCACAUGUGCUGCCCCAUGCGUGGCAUUUCUGAAAGGUGCAAUGCCUAGUGUCCGGGAGCUCAAGCUAGCAUUUGAUGCCGACAGAAUGGAGCAAUACCCCCAGAUAGUUCCUGGAUUAGAGUACCUGACAGAACUUAGAGAGAUCACUGCAAAAGUUGGGGGCACUGGUGCUGAUGAAUCUGAUAAAAGGUACGCUGAGUCAGCACUGAGUGGCGCCAUUGCCAAUCAUCGGAGCACUCCAAUAAUCAGAGUACAAUGUGUAGAUCGGAUUUUUUUUGGUGCCAUCACACAAGAACAAGAAUACUGGACUCUGGAAGAACAACAUGAGAUACAAGAGGAAUUGCUUGAUCCUCUUCCUGAAUUUUUUAUUUCCACUCCGAGCACACAAGAGCAUGUUGAAGGAAGAGAUAAAUCGGUUGAGGUGCUGACACAAGAACAGGAACACUGCACUCUUGAUCUUGUUACUGAACUUCUUUUGACACCAACACAAACAAGGGAUGGAGUGCAGGGUGAACAAAUGGGAGGAUCGAAGGUGGUUGUGACACAAGAACAGGAACACUGGAUUACGGAGAAACAACACGAGACACGAGCAGAAUUUCUUGAUCCUCUUCCCGAUCUCCUUAUUUCCACUCAAAGCACAGACAAAGAAACGGGAGAUGGAGCUCAGGGUGAAAUAAUAAAAAGAUCAAUGGAGGUCCUGACACAUGGACAUGAACACUUAACUCUAGAAAAACAACAUGAGAUUCAUGAGGAAUUGUUUGAUCUUCUCCCUGAAGUUCUUUCCACUCCAAGCACACAGAUACAAGUGACAGAGGAAGUUCAGGAUGGAGAAAUAGAAAGAUUGAUGGAGGUGCUGACACAAGAGCAAGAACAGUGCACCCUUGAAAGCCAACACGAGAUGACAGAGGGAAUGCAGGAUGUACAAAUAGGGACAUCGAUUGAGGCGGCGGCACAAGAAGACAACAAUACUCGGCAAAGACAGCAUGAGAUUGAAAAGGAAUUGCUUGAUCCUCUUCCUGAACUUCUUUCUAUUUCAAGCACUCCAAGCCCAGAAAUACAAAUAAUAGAUGAAGUGCAGAAUAGAGUAACACAGAGAUCGAUGGAGGUAGUGAGCGCUUCCCAGGGCACGUUGGGACCCCUACUGGAGAAGAUCAAUGGUUUGCUCGCCAAUGAGCAUGCUAGCUUGAAUGGGGGCCUGCGCCGUGAAGUCCGCUACCUCAAAUCUGAUCUGGCGGACAUGCAUACCAUGAUGAAAAAGUACACGAUGCUGGAAGAUCCAGAUGUCCUGGUGAAGGAAUGGAUAUCGUUGCUGAGGGAGUUGUCUUAUGAUGCAGAGGAUUGCCUUGACAAGUUUGUUCAGAAGCUCGACAGUGGCGGUAGUCACGGUGGAUUCAAGGGGAUAGUCCGCAGGGCUUCUCUCCUUCCGAAGAAAAUUAAAUCUCGGCGCGGAUUCGCAGAAAAAAUUGGCGAGCUGAAAGUUUGUGUCAAGAACUUGAGAGAGCUCAAGAGUAAACUGGACGAUACUGCUUGCGUCACAUCUUAUCAUUCAACCGUGGAUCCCCGGCUGUCUGCUCGUUUUGCUGACGGCGGGCACCUUGUGGGCAUUGACGGUCCAAGAGAUGAUCUUACCAAGUGGAUGGUUGAAGUAGGAAACAGCUCAGCAAAGAAUCAUCGUAGGGUGUUAUCUAUUGUUGGGUUUGGUGGAUUGGGAAAGACAACACUAGCGAAUCAGGUCUAUCGCAAGACUGAAGGGCAUUUUCAUUGUCAGGCCUUUGUAUCAGUCUCGCAAAAGCCGAAUAUAAAGAAAAUUAUCAUGGACUUGAUCUCCCAAGUGUCUUCCCAUGGAUUCACGGAAGAUAUUGACAAUUGGGACGAAAGGAGAUCCAUUGAAGAGCUAAGAGGACUGCUACAAGGCAAGAGGUAUCUCGUCGUCAUUGAUGAUAUAUGGUCUAUAGAGGCAUGGAAUAUUAUCAAGUCUGCUCUUCCAGAGAAUAACUGUUCUAGCAGAAUUAUAACUACUACACGCAUUAUUGACGUUGCAAGGUCAUGUUGUGUGGAUCGAGAUGACCGCAUGUAUGAAAUGCAAUUCUUGAGUGAUUAUCAUUCUAAAAAAAUGUUCUUCAAAAGAAUUUUUGGGUUUGAGGAUGUUCCCGAUAUGCUGGAAGAAGUUUCAAAAGAAAUUUUAAAAAAAUGUGGAGGCCUACCAUUGGCAAUUAUCAGUAUGUCUAGUUUAUUGGCAAAUAGACCAGCUAAGAAAGAGGAGUGGGAAAAAGUCAUAACGUCAACUGGUUCUGCAAGUCUAGAGGGAAUGAAGGGCAUACUAUGGCUUAGCUACAAGGAUCUUCCAGAUAAUCUCAAGACUUGUUUGUUGUAUUUAAGUAAUUUUCCUGAGGGCUCUGUGAUUGAGAGAGAUAGGUUAGUGAGACGGUGGAUAUCAGAAGGCUUUAUCUCUGAAAAUCGUGGGCAAAGUCAGCAAGAGGCCGCGGAGAACUGUUUCUAUGAGCUUAUCAACAGAAACUUGAUUCAAGCAGUGGACAUUUGCUAUGAUGGUAAGGUUCGUGCAUGCCGAGUCCAUGCCAUGAUGCUUGAACUCAUCAUUUCAAAGUCAGCUGAAGAUAAUUUCGUCACGGUGAUUGGUAGCGGGCAGACUGGUUUGGUAAAUCACCAUGGUUCUAUUCGACGACUAUCUGUCCAGCACAUUGACCAGAAUCUUGCAUCUGUAUUGGCAAAUGAAGAUCUAAGCCAUGUACGCUCUCUAACAGUUACAUCAUCAAGUUGCAUCAAACACUUGCCUAGUUUUGCUUCCUUUCAAAAUUUGCGUGUACUGGAUUUUGAAGGGUGUGAUGGAUUGGAAAAGAAAUAUAUGAUGUGUCUUCUGUUUGAGGAAGGGGCACUGCCGAUGCUCGAGGAUCUUGGCCUAGUCUACUCUGUGUCAAUGGCGAAUGCCAAUGGAUUCUGCCUGGGUUUUCAGCACCUCCCAAGACUGAGAAAUGCACGAGUCCGUCUCUACAAAGAGGGCGCAACAUCUUCUGCUAUCACUUCUGCAGAAGUUGCUAUAAAGAAUGAAGCAGAUGCCCAUCCCAACCAUCCCACAGUAACUCUGAUAGAACAUGUCAAGAGAGUGGAUUAUUGCUCUGAGGAAUGUCCUAAGAGAACCGUACAGAGCUACUCUGAAGACCCAGAACUAGUUGACAAUACAACUAAGCAAAAGGAAACUUAA
Molecule: ribosomal RNA, 5802 nt
Filed under: Triticum aestivum (bread wheat)
Lineage: Eukaryota; Viridiplantae; Streptophyta; Magnoliopsida; Poales; Poaceae
Description: partial small subunit ribosomal RNA
Source: RNAcentral